CUAUGCUUGAAUACAUUAGCAUGGAAUAAUAGAAUAGGACUUUGGUUCUAUUUUGUUGGUUUCUAGGACCGAAGUAAUGAUUAAUAGGGAUAGUUGGGGGCAUUAGUAUUUAGUAGCUAGAGGUGAAAUUCUUGGAUUUACGAAAGACUAACUUCUGCGAAAGCAUUUGCCAAGGAUGUUUUCAUUAAUCAAGAACGAAAGUUAGGGGAUCGAAGACGAUCAGAUACCGUCGUAGUCUUAACCAUAAACUAUGCCGACUAGGGAUCAGACGAUGUUACUUUACUGACUCGUUUGGCACCUUAUGAGAAAUCAAAGUUUUUGGGUUCCGGGGGGAGUAUGGUCGCAAGGCUGAAACUUAAAGGAAUUGACGGAAGGGCACCACCAGGAGUGGAGCCUGCGGCUUAAUUUGACUCAACACGGGGAAACUCACCAGGUCCAGACAUAGUAAGGAUUGACAGAUUGAGAGCUCUUUCUUGAUUCUAUGGGUGGUGGUGCAUGGCCGUUCUUAGUUGGUGGAGUGAUUUGUCUGCUUAAUUGCGUUAACGAACGAGACCUUAACCUGCUAAAUAGUUAUGCCAACUUUUGUUCGUAGUCAACUUCUUAGAGGGACUGUCGGCGAUUAGCCGACGGAAGUUUUAGGCAAUAACAGGUCUGUUAUGCCCUUAGAUGUCCUGGGCCGCACGCGCGCUACACUGAUGAAAUCAACGAGUUUAUAACCUUGGCCGGAAGGU
Molecule: ribosomal RNA, 731 nt
Filed under: Mucoromycotina sp.
Lineage: Eukaryota; Fungi; Mucoromycota
Description: SSU rRNA
Rfam family: Eukaryotic small subunit ribosomal RNA
Source: RNAcentral